RNAcentral lists this long non-coding RNA (3713 nucleotides) under Fragaria vesca (wild strawberry). RNAcentral's name for it is "long non-coding RNA (FVES_LNC001409)". Lineage: Eukaryota; Viridiplantae; Streptophyta; Magnoliopsida; Rosales; Rosaceae. The record is from RNAcentral.
GGCCUUUAUCUUGCCAAUGCCUUGAACAAAUAUGGAAUCCUGUACUGCCACAUGAUUGAGCCAAGAAUGAAGACAGUUGGAGAAAACUGUGAAUGUCCCCACAGUCUUGUACCGAUGAGAAAGGCUUUCAAUGGUACCUUCAUUGCUGCUGGUGGUUUUGACAUGGAAGAUGGGAAUAAUGCUGUAGCUGAGGACCGUGCAGAUCUUAUUGCUUUUGGUCGUUGGUUCUUGGCUAAUCCAGAUUUGCCAAAGAGAUUUGAGCUUAAAGCUCCUCUAAAUAAGUACAUCAGAGAUACGUUCUACAUAUCGGAUCCAAUUCUAGGUUACACUGAUUAUCCAUUUCUUGACAGCACUGCACGAGUUUCCAGCUGACAAUGGAAGUUUGAACUUUCUUAUUUUACUCUUGCAUUGGUCUGCUUCAAAGUUUUGUUGUUGCUUUUCUUUCGCAGCAUGUUACACUAGAAUAAAAUAGUCAAUACCAAGUUGGAUAGGCUGGUUAACCAGACUAUGGAGUUCUCAAUUGGUAUGGUGUAGAUUGUAUGUUCUGGUCUCUGAAAGUGCCCUGUCAAGUGUUUUAUUGUAGCUUGUGGCUAUGCGAAGAUGCAACUGAUUGUACCUUGUACGAGAUAAAUUGAAUAAAAAUGGUCUGUCUUUUGACUUGUACCAACUACUGGAUCUUCUGUUUUGUGUAUCUUAAUAAUGAGAGAUACCUGAGGAUAUACUAUAACUUCUGAACUUUGCUGUCGAUUGGAUUUCAUUGUUCAUCAACCACAGGAAUAUGAUUUAUUUUAACUGUGACUGCAUUCAUAAACCCUAUAAUCAAUGCACAUCCUUCAGGUAUCAUCCUUCUUUUUCACUAACAACAGUACGCGUACUGGUGAUGAAAAGGGACUUCUACUAGGUUUGAUCACACAUUAUCCUAUAAGUCCUGAACAAUUUCCAUGGACUUUGUGGAGGGCUUGCCUACAUCAGCUGGUAAAUGAGUCAUCAUGGUUGUCAUUGAUAUAUAGUUUCACAAAAUAUGCUCAAUUUGUUCCAUUAGCACAUCCAUACACUGCUGCUGUCAUUGCUCAACAAUUCAUUCAUCAUAUCUGCAAGCUGCAUGCAUGCAUGGCAGUCCAUCAUAACUGAUAGAGACCCUUUUUCUUGAGCCAUUUCUAGGAAGCUUUCUUUAAGAUUCAAGGCACUGAUCUUCAUAAAAGUUCAGCCUACCAUCCACAAUCUGAUGGACAGAGUGAAAACCUCAAUAAGACAUUGGAGCAGUAUUUGAGGUGUGCAAUUGGGGAAAAAAACUCAUUCAUGGGUUGAAGCUCUUCCAUGGGUGAGCAUUGGUAUAAUAUUGCUCAUCAUUUAGCUGUUGAUAUGUCACCAUUUGAAGCUCUUUUAUGGGUUAAAAACUUAUGAUCCACCACAAGUUCAGUAAUUAACAACUCAGUAACUUCCCCAGUUCCUCCCAGCAAAACCACAAGUCAACACUGGCAGCUCAGUAACUUUCCCAGUUUCUCCAGAAACCACAGCCCACGUAACUCCACACGUCACCAGCUCACAAGCUUCGUAAUGGUAAAGCAGUCAGAGGACCCCCACUUGUUUCCAAGUAGCCGACUUUGUCUUCUAGUUCACUCUCAAACGUAUAAAGACCUAAUUGUUUCUUCCAUUCAUUUCCAGACCAGAACUACUGCUUCCAAAAAAAAAAGACCAGAACUACUAAAACUCCAAUAACUUGAAGCACCCAGAUUGCAAGAUUAUAUAUAUGGCUAACCAAGCUCCCACACUUCCUCUUCUUACUCCUUACAGGUCGGGAAAGUUUGAUCUUUCUCACAGGUAUAUUAUGCUUAAAUCUUUGUCUCUCUCCAGUUUUACAUUGGUUGAUUAUUGCUAAGUGCCCAAGAACAUGUUUUGGUUUUCUCAUCUUCCAAAUUCAAAUGGUCCAUUUUGUUUGUGCAUGAAUUGGCCAUAAUAUGAUCUGGGUUUUGGUUUAUAAGUCGAGAACAUUAUGUGUCACGAGGUUUAGACCCUAUGUUCCCCUCAAUUUACUAUCGUAAUAAUAACAAUAUUGAUAUAGGCCUAUGUCUCGAGGUUUAGGCCUUAUGUCUAGAAGAAAGUAUUGAUGGUUGUAUUGAUAAGUGUUUACUUUGUUUAUCCAUUCCAGAGUUGUUUUAGCACCAUUGACUAGAUCGAGAUCAUACGGAAAUGUUCCCCAGCCGCAUGCCAUCUUAUAUUACUCUCAGAGAGCAUCCAAAGGGGGUCUUCUCAUAAGUGAAGCCACUGGAGUUUCAGACACAGCACAAGGGUAACUUAAUGAAUAGCUUUCAAGUUUCUUUCUGUAAACUUGUAAAUCACAAGAUGCAGUAGAUUUGCAACUUUCGCAUUCCAAAAUUUGAAUCUUUUAUUGUUUCUUUGGUAUGUUAAGGUAUACAGAUACUCCUGGUAUAUGGACCAAGGAGCAAGUUGAAGCAUGGAAACCCAUUGUCAAUGCUGUACAUGCCAAAGGGGGUUUCUUCAUCUGUCAAAUUGUGCACGUCGGGAGGGUUUCAAAUAGUGGUUCGUCCCUGAGGAUCCUGACUCACGACUCUGUCAUAGAAACCCUUGUGAUCGAGCAUAAGUGACUUAUAAGAUUAGUGAUGCAUUUGAAAACUAGAUGCUCUUCCUUAAUUUAUUAGGAAAACAUAACGUUUUGACGUGGAACAAGUUUGAUGAAUUUAAAUAACUCAGAAUUCAUAACUAGUGGAUAGUAUGUGCAUGCAUAGUCCUAUAUUAUAAACUUCUUUUUCACCAAUAUAAGGAUCUAUCAACCUUGCUUCUGCUAUGGUUGUUGUAGAUCAAUGAAUUUGAUAUUUCUUCAAUAUAAUCUGUCGUGUUCUCAUAGUGAUUCUCUCCCUCUUUUGCUUAUAGGCUUUCAGCCAAAUGGGCAAUCUCCAAUCUCUUCUACUGACAAGCCCCUACAACCACAAAUAGGAUCUAGUGGAAUUGACGUUGAGGAAUUCACACCUCCAAGACGAUUAAGGGCAGAUGAAAUUCCUCAAAUCGUCAAUGAUUUUAGACUUGCUGCAAGGAAUGCGAUGGAAGCUGGUAAUUUUUUCAAGUUAAAUAUGAAAUAAAUUUACAUGUCCUUUUACAGAAACGUGUUAUAUCAAAGUGGUGAUCUCUUUGUUUCAGUUAUUGGGUAAUGAAAAGUUUCAAAAAUAUUCAGUAACACCAAUAUUGUUAUUGUUUGUUGAUUUUAUAGGCUUUGAUGGAGUUGAAAUUCAUGGCGCCCAUGGCUACCUAAUCGAUCAGUUUUUAAAAGAUCAAGUAAAUGAUCGAACAGACCAAUACGGUGGAUCUCUAGAAAACCGUUGCCGAUUUGCACUAGACAUUGUUGAAGCUCUUGUCAACGAGAUAGGAGCAGCCAAAGUUGGAAUCAGAUUAUCUCCAUUUGCCGACUAUAUGGAAUCCGGAGAUUCUAAUCCAAAGGAGUUGGGACUUUAUCUAGCCAAUGCCUUAAACAUGUAUGGGAUCCUGUACUGCCACAUGAUUGAGCCAAGAAUGAAGACGGUUGGAGAAAAAUGUGAAUGUCCCCACAGUCUCGUACCCAUGAGAAAGGCUUUCAAUGGUACCUUCAUUGCUGCUGGUGGUUUUGACAUGGAAGAUGGGAAUAAUGCUGUAGCUGAGGACCGUGCAGAUCUUAUUGCUUUUGGUCGUUGGUUCUUGGCUAAUCCGGAUUUGCCAAAGAG